UUAUGAAGCUCGGGAUGGUUUGACCAAUACUCAUCAAGGAUCAAAAGGAGUUCCUGAGCUCGGCCGAGGGCAAAUGCUGGAAUUAGAACACGACCACCUAGAGAGAUGGUUGAGUGGAUAACAUCAGUGAAGCGCUUCUCCCGAAGGUGUCGAGGUUGAUGGAGUUGGACACCAUAGGUAGAUUCAAUUAUGCAUAUGUCUGGAGAGAAUUGUGGCAUCUCAGCAGCACGAAGAUGCCGAUCUUCUUCACGCGAAUAGUCUCCAGUAUACAGCACUCGAACACCGGCAAUAUCUACCAUGAACAUGGCAGCCCCAAGGACAUGGCCAGCAGUGUAGCACCAAAAUUUAAUGCCAUUAACAUCCACAGUCUGAUGGAAGUCAACAACCUGCAAUUACAAAAAUAAUUAAUGAAAUGAAGGAUUCUUAAGUUAAAUAGAGGAUGACAAAGGAAGAUUACAAGCGAGGCCAUCAUAAGGAAAAUAAGACCUGGCAAACACCAGCAGAUCUGCUCACAAAAAAAGAUGAAAAUGCAAACACAUGCACCCAACCUUGACAAAAGUGUCAGGGAUUAGGAUUAACAGUCCAGGUAUGAAAAGAAAAAUAUAUAAAAGUGAUAUCCUCUCUUUCCCUCUGCAAUCUCUCAAUGGUUUUGACCACUUGCACUCAUGGAUCGUGAUUGUGCUAUAGGAUGGAAAUAAAAUCAAAAGAAAAAAGAAAUCCUCGCUUUGAAUUGGCUCCAUAGGAUUGUAUUUUCAGAAUGCUACCAAAACUUAAAUACCUACUUUUUUUUAUUAUUUCAUAAUUGUGAAAACAUCUUUUAAUCAGCCCAAACAUUACCACAUAUGGAUCGGUCAUGGACAGAUUUAUCAACUUAAAAUGGCAAGCAUAGCAUAGUGCUUACCAAAAGAGAUGCAAUAUUGAGAAAAAGAUAAGCAACUACCAUUUUGGAACAAGCACCCUUUCUUCAAACAACCAAGGGAAUAAAUAAAUAAAUUUUCAUCCAGUUGUUACCAAACCUUUCUGCUUAACUGUAAUAGGGCAGGGGACCUGUAUGCCUACCAGAAGGUUCCCACUUGGCUGACAAAAUUUUCCUUUAUCUUUAUCUUUAUCUUUUUUGUUGUUGUUGAAUUACUGUUAUCUUAUUACUAAUCACUAAAAUCUUACAUGUGCAGGAAGAUAGAGAGUGAGAUGGCACUCGCUAUAAUAGGACCCAAACUCUCAUAGUUCAAAAAAGAUACAUGGCUGUCAACCACAACUACUUGAAUAUGCUCUUUGAUUAAUCAGGCAAUAGAGUAUUCCAAAUGCAACUUAAGUGUGGAAUCAACUUAGAUUGAUCAGUACUGGAAAAAGAAAGGCAUAACUUAAUUAUCAGAUGCAUAUAAAUUGGUCCUAAGUUUCCAUGCGAAACAUGCCAGCCUCAAAUGAGAAGCCAACAACUAACAAUGCCAAAUCAAACAGACUGAAAGCUAAGAAAUCCAUAGAGAGCAAAAUUCACAUCAAAUGCAAGAUUGAAACACUUUAAAUUCCAGAAGACAAUAGCAGACCUUUCAUCUAGAGCAAUUAACUCAACAUGGAUAGGAGGUGAUAAAGAAGAAUAACCAAUAAGCUGAAUUCCUGACUUUGGGACCACAACAUAAUGCCAAGAUAUAAUAAACAAAAAUAUUUCCAAACUAUUGCUUAGAAGGAAGGUAAACGAAGUGGAUCAAGUUUCUGGAAGAACAAAAAGGAUGCGGAUAGAUGUAAACAAGAGAACGCAAAAAUUCAUAAAUACAAACCUCGAUUUUAUCCAUUGAGCGGUUUAUGUCUUUCUCAUCAAACAACAUAUCUUCCACUGAAACUUUGCUCACUUUUAUAUAAUCAGUCAAAAGCAACUUGUAGAUAGCCUUUGUUGCAUGAGUCAUGAAAACUCGACCUCUGAAUGUGGUCUGAUAAAGAGUGAACAUGUAAGAUUGAUCCUAGUGAAAGAUACACACAAUAACUUUGUAGAAAUCAGUAAAAAAAAAAACAAACCUUCUCAAGAAAAUAAGGUAGGGAUGCAGCAUGAUCCAAGUGAAAGCUGCAGGCAUAAAGCAUCACUCCCAAUGAUUGAUGAGAAAAAACUAGAGAGGCCUAAAAAUUUUGAUUGAAAAAGUAACGAUAGAUAACAAAAACUAAAUUGAACAAAUAUAGAAAACACAGUAUUGAUUUUACAAAUGGAGCAUAUUUAUUUCCCAACCAAUGUGAUACAAUGAUUUUUCAAUAUUUUCAUUUUUUGAAUCAUUGCAUAAUAUGCAAUCACAUUAAUAUUCAACAUAAUUAAUUAGUAGAAAUAAUUUAUAUUCUUUUAUUGUUUUGUUUUCUUGUUGAACACUUUAUGAUAUUUAAUCACAUUAAAAAUAAUAAUUUAUUAUAACAUAGCAUAGAUAAUCAAGAUUUUCCUAAAUGAUUUCUUCAGCCAAAAAAUGGAUUGCUUUCAAUCCCCAAUUGCAUGCAUUUUCAGCACUGUUCUAUUGCGGUUCCCAUUAUAAGCAAUAAACCUCACGAGCACAAACCUAUUUCUUAGAAGAUCACUCAUCUUCUUGCAACAAGGAGCAUGUGAAUAAUUAAAAUAUAGAUAUCAAGAGUCUAUGACACUUCAAAUUCCAACAAAACUUUAUCAUACAUCUCAUUACAUCUAUACUUCUCUACAACUGCAUAGAUUCACUUAAGAGUUUAAAGUUCCCAGCACACAUCAAGAAUACUACUGAUAAUUUUUUAUAGAGUUAAGAAAGUUCAGGCUGCCCUCUCUUGUUGACAAAGCAUCAAGUUUAAGUUUCACCGUUUCAAUUUAUAUUAUUGUCAAGUCCAGCAUUAUAACAGACUUGGCUAACUUCUACUGAUGAGGAACCUAGCCACUUCCUAUCAAAUGGCCCUAAUAAUGCAAGUUCAAGGACCUAAGGAACUGCAUCAUGCGGUUGUUCUCACAAUAUUUAAACUCCUUACCAACUUGUGUUGUCACAAUAAAAUCGUCCCAAAUAUUAGACCAAAAUACCUUAACACUAUCUUUCUCAAUACUUGUCAUAUCUGUCUUCUGAGCUGAGUGUUCUCUAAUUCUGAAACAAUUUCAUGUUCUUCCUUGGACAAGUUGAUCUCUCGCAGCUAAAAAUUUCAUGCAAUCUUACUACAUCAUCAUAGGAGAUAUCUCUUCAAAGUAUUCUUUUGACAAGAAAAUUAACAAACAAGAAAGCAAGCAAGGUCAAAUCAAGGGAGCAUUCAGUGAGAGAAAAACUAGCAUUUACGAAACUAAUAGUGGGAAACAAAAUAUUGCCUCAUGGAAUGGAAAAUCAAUAUACAUAUAUACAAUAGCCAAGCAAGGAGAAUUAGCAAGAGAAGGUGAAGAAAUACAUACUGUGUAACGAGAAGUACAUCAAUAGUCGAAGGGUCAAUCUCAUCGAAGUAAGGCAAAGCAGCCAUACCCGAAUAAGCCAGAUGAAUUCCACAAUCAAACUAACAAUGGCAUAAUUCGACAACAAAAACAUAAAUUAAUAAACAAAAUACAUUCAUUGAAUUUGAUCCAGCAUAAUCAAGAAUUACCAAUAGUAAAUUAGUAUAAAAUGGCAUAAUUGAAAAACAACAAAAUGCAUAGAGGGAAGGAGGGAGGGAAGCAAUACCAAUACAGUCUUGCCUUUAAAUGACAUGUAAACACAGGAUCGACCCACUUCAUUUCCAGCACCUAAAGGGGUUAGAGUUAGCUUAUCCCCUCCUUCUCUUGUUACCGGUGCAUCCCUUCUUUUUAGCGACUGUGAUUGCCCUGUUGAUGCCAUUCUUGUGUUCUUCAGCUGCCCGAAAACCAAACUGUAUUUAUGUCUCUGUAGAAAAACUCCUAUACAGCUAAACCCACUCAGCUUCUGAUUUGUAAUGAUUAUAUAAAAUAAGAGAAUACAACUUACAAAAGUUGAUAUAAAGCUUAUAAUGUUUAUAGGGAUUAUGCUUCAAGCUCGAACUUUUUUAAAAUUAUGAGAUGGAUAUGGGAGUCCCGCUACAUCAGAGACAGUUUUUCAAGGGGUUUUCUUUGCUUUUACUCGAAGAUUUAAUUAGUGGAUCAAAUUAAAAUACACCAGUCAUGGUUAGCUCGGCCUCUGUUCAAGUCCUAAAUAGUCUAAGUAGUCAAAUGACAAAGGGGAAAGGGAGAGAGAUGAGAUAAGACACGGUUGAUUCAAACAGACAAGAUGGCUUCAAAAACCAACUCGGGCCUUCAAAGCAACCCAUACCCCUUCUUUCCAAGGUUCCACCAUUUAAAUAUGUGUUUGGCAACGGAUAGACCAUGUUUUUUUUUUAUAUAUAUAAAAAGUUUAAAAUAAUUUCUUUUAUUACUUAAAUGUUAAAAACAAUUCUGUACUUAACACAUUAAUGAUUCAGUUAAUCUGCCUGUAAAUGUUUUGUGCGUUAUACUAGCAUGUAAGAUUCAGAAAAAGAAGAGUAUUCUUUAAUUUCUCCCAAAUAAACCAUGAGAAAUAGCAGCAACAGCAGCAAGCAAAGAGAGAUAACAUACCUGUACACGUACCUAUAUUAGUAUGGUUAGAAGACAAGAAUAUGCCAAACUCCUACUUUUAUGACCUUCGACUCCUCUGCUUUACGUCUUUUAAACCCAUUAUAACUCCACCGUCACGCUGUUGUGCUUCUGUGGACAAGAUAUGUGGCUCGUUUGGAGCGCGUGUUGUCGGUUGCAGCAGCUGCGGUUACUGGUGGCGCGGUCGUGAUUCCGGCUUCUGGAAGGGAAGGAGGCUGGGUGAGACGUUUUGGUGGACAAUGAAAUGCUGAUGGCAGUUGCUAUCGUUGCUACUGGGGGGGCGCAGGAACACAAAAACUAUUAGUUAAAAAAUAAGCACCAUUGAAUAGAGAGCUCAUCGAGUUAUAAAUAUAGUUUUUAAAUUUAAUUUGGAGAUUAAUCGACACAAUAAUCAGCCUAGCAUACAAAAAUUUAAAAAUAAUGUACGCGAGGGUUUGAAAGUGUGAUAGCGGUUGCUUUUUAAAUAGUUUUUCGUGCUGAAAAACAUGCCAAUAAUAUUUUUUUAUUUUUUAAAAAUUAUUUUUGAUAUUAACGCAUCAAAACGAUUCAAAAAGUACAAACCGUAUUCAAUUUUAAUAAAAAAAAAUUAAAACUUUUUAAAAACAGGUUAGACCGUACUGCCAAACGGUAAUAAAAGACCUUCACGGGUUAAAAGAGUGGGAUAUAUGAAAAUUGCAAAUCACAAGAGAAGAAAGCGAGAACCUCCUAAGAUUUCUGGAAAAAAAUUCCGAGGAAAGACGUAUCGGACAGUGUCUAGAGCAAUCAAAUAAAAUAUGUACAUCAAGAUCAAUCCCUUAAUUAAUGAAUAUAAAUAUGAAAAAAACAAGGAAUUGAAAACAAAAUCAAACUUGAUAUAUUAUUAGAGUUAGAAAGGUUAUUAGAAUUCUGCAGAUGUGUAGCAAGUUGAUUCCAACUUUCCACAGUCUGAGACUUCAAAAACUUCCCUACGAGCACCUUAAAAUUAGUUGCUUCUAGUUAGCUUUUCCAAUGAAAUACAGAAGAAAUUUGGCAAGAACACCUUUACAAGCCAUGAAAUUGUAUCUUAUGAGCUUCCCAAUUACAUCAGUAGUAGUGUGAGAAUCAAGUGUGCAUUGAUAUUUAUGUAUUUUUCUUUCAGUUUUUUGAUAAUUACCGAAUUAAGAAAGGGUUUGUUACAUCUUUUACUAAUUUAUAAUAAUAUUUAAAUUAUUAAACUGGAGAUGUGUGGGGGCUCCAAAAACUUUUUGGCAGCAUGCGCUGCCAAAAUACAUGACCAUAUAGUAGCUUUCAAGGCGGCGAUGGAUUUAAUUGGUGCCUACCUGACCAGAUGCCACGUGUUUCUUCUCCACCUCUGAUUCACUGUAAACGGUGUUGCUUUUUUUCCCCCCUCUCUCUCUCAUCUAAGCUGGUAAAAUAACCCAAUCACAAAAUCCUAUAACAGAGAUGUAGCAAUCAAUCCCAUAAUUUAAACCGUUAAUUAAACUUCAAGAAUAAAAUCAAGUCAUGAUAGCAACACUCGCAUGGAAACAAUGGUUACAAAUCUGACUAUUUACAACUUCUAUGAAACCAACAUUCAAUCAUAUUAUUAGAAACUGAUUAUUUUGAAGCGCGGAUUUGUAAUCUGACUGAACUAGCAAUUAAUCCUGCAUUUCAAGAAUAAAAUCAAGUCAUGACAACAAUUCUCACAUGGAAAAAAUGUUUAGAAAUCUGACUAUUUACAACUUGCAUGCAGCAAAUAUUCAAUUAUAUUUUUAGAAACUGAUUUUUUAAGGCACUAAUUUGAAAUCGAACUAUCCCUUGAUAGGAUAAGUCCAAACUACAGCAAUGAGCAAAAUCAUUAAGGCACGAGACUAAAAUAAUAGGCAACCUCAAGGCAGGAUGCAUUCCAACAUAAAAUUACUACGGAAACAAAGGAUAAAUGAGAAAUUAGUGCUCAAUAGAAACAAAAUCUAUUCUCGAAGGUCAGAAACAUGUUGAAACAAGAAGGAAAAGGAAAGAGAAAAGCUAAGAUGCAGGGAGCGGGAGCGGGAUUGGCCUCACAGCACUUUGAAUUCGCCUAAAUGCUGUCCUAACUCGUUCCUUGAGACCUUCAUUCUCACUCUCAACAUCCCCACUCUGUUUGUCAAGCUCUGCCACAUUCUCAUCGACGCGUAUGACCAGCUUCCCGUUCUCUCCAAGUUUCACAUCUCCAAAAAGUGAAACAAGGAGGGCAUAAAUCACUUUCUCUGCUUUUUUCUCAUUUUCUUCCUCAGAUUUUAUGUCCUCUGACUCGACAAUUACCUUAGGAACCUCCCGGCUGAUGUUCAAAACCAAAGCUACAAUUGAAUCAGACACCAUAUCACUUAUGGGGUCAGCAGUCCAAUGAAGUGAAAUAUGUCUGUCAGAUUCUUGUUUCACUGUUACCAGCUCAUGCACUUGCAAUGUUGGAGACCCGGACUCCUCGUCAGUUCCAGACUCCACACUCUCAUAAAUCUGCUCAAGCCUGUGCUUUAUCACACCGAAUGCACCAGAAAAAGGAAUGGUAAUCCUCUGAGUAACAUUUCCAGUUGAUAGUUGUGAGAAGACAUGGAGAUCUCCAGGUGCCAUGAUUUGAUAAGUGAAGCCCUUCUUCACCAGUAUACCACUGACAGUUUCACCAACAUCCGGGGUCCUUUCAGCCAGCUUUCCAAUGGUUUUUGCCAUUUUUUCAGAGUUGAAAUACAUCUCAACAGACUGGCAAUUCUUUGGGGUGAUUAUCUUGGUGUUGCCAUCAGCAAACUCUGUAAUAAGUUUCUGUUUGAGCCUUCCCAUUUCAUUGGCUUCUCCAUGAACAAGAAUGAUGUUAGGAGGCAUGAGCUCUUUCAAAAAUGUACUUGUCUGAGCAUAAUCUGCAUGAGCAGAGAAUGAGAUGUAAUGGACCUGCAUGUUGAGUGGUGCAGUCAGUCCAUUCAUGAGCUGUACCUCCUUCGGUUCAUUAAUGAUUGUCUUAGCUAGGGUCCCUUCAACAACAUAUCCAGGUAAAACACAGGCAUUUUUCUUAUCAGAGCACCACAUAUCAAACAACUGCCUUGACAACCCGCUCUGCAGUCCUCCAGGGCUUGCCAUAACCACAGAUGGCCCUACAUCAGUAAAAUCUUCAAUGCUAUUUAACGGUGAUAUAUGCUUGAAUUUGAAGGGGUUUGAAUUCGCAAACUGAUUGCGGAUUCUUUCAUUCAUAGAAAGGAUGUAUGUCUGGUAAACAGUCAUACAUUUUUUUGCAAGGGGAGAAGCAUAAUAUAUUGGAAUGUUAUGAAGCUCAGGAUGGUUUGCCCAAUACUCAUCAAGGAUCAAAAGGAGUUCUUGAGCUCGGCCGAGGGCAAAUGCUGGAAUUAGGACACGACCACCUAGAGAGAUGGUGGAGUGGAUAACAUCAGUGAAGCGCUUCUCCCGAAGGUGUCGAGGUUGAUGGAGUUGGACACCAUAGGUAGAUUCAAUUAUGCAUAUGUCUGGAGAGAAUUGUGGCAUCUCAGCAGCACGAAGAUGCCGAUCUUCUUCACGCGAAUAGUCUCCAGUAUACAGCACUCGAACACCAGCGAUAUCUACCAUGAACAUGGCAGCCCCAAGGACAUGGCC
Molecule: long non-coding RNA, 8098 nt
Filed under: Populus tremula
Lineage: Eukaryota; Viridiplantae; Streptophyta; Magnoliopsida; Malpighiales; Salicaceae
Description: long non-coding RNA (PTRE_LNC001372)
Source: RNAcentral